This 253-nucleotide ribosomal RNA is filed under the name uncultured bacterium. Its description in RNAcentral is "partial 16S ribosomal RNA". It matches the Rfam family "Bacterial small subunit ribosomal RNA", at positions 524 to 776 of the family's 1533-position model. The record is from RNAcentral.
UACGUAGGUGGCGAGCGUUGUCCGGAUUUACUGGGCGUAAAGAGCGCGCAGGCGGUCGUUCAAGUCGGAUGUGAAAGCCCCCGGCUCAACUGGGGAGGGUCAUUCGAUACUGAUCGACUCGAAGGCAGGAGAGGGAAGCGGAAUUCCCGGUGUAGUGGUGAAAUGCGUAGAUAUCGGGAGGAACAUCAGUGGCGAAAGCGGCACCCUGGCAUUAGCCUGACGCUCAUGUGCGAAAGCGUGGGGAGCGAACGGG